Molecule: non-coding RNA, 138 nt
Organism: Ornithorhynchus anatinus (platypus)
Lineage: Eukaryota; Metazoa; Chordata; Mammalia; Monotremata; Ornithorhynchidae
Source: Rfam
ACCUUCUCAGGGUCACACCUGGAGAGUUUCCAGUACUCUACUGGCCUCGACCAUGAGAGUGAAAGUCAAGCAGAGGCAUACCCAUUCCAUUCCUAGCUUAGGCGGUGGCUAGUGAGUGGAAACCAAUCUGCUACAAGU